Molecule: small nuclear RNA, 98 nt
Organism: Camelus dromedarius (Arabian camel)
Lineage: Eukaryota; Metazoa; Chordata; Mammalia; Artiodactyla; Camelidae
Source: Ensembl
AUGAAAACAGCACAUAUACUAAAAUUGGAACAAUACAGAGAUUAGCAUGGUCCCUGCGAAAGGAUGACACGCAAAUUCAUGGAGCGUUCCAUAUUUUU